Argiope bruennichi is the source of this 1778-nucleotide RNA transcript. It is a transcript of the gene named serine/arginine-rich splicing factor 1B-like, with no coding region annotated. NCBI's taxonomy places the organism in Eukaryota, Metazoa, Arthropoda, Arachnida, Araneae, Araneidae. The record is from RefSeq and is a predicted model, not a curated record. The transcript is spliced from 6 exons.
AUUGAGCCAUUUUCACCCUGGUCUUUGUUUAUCAAGCGAAUUUAGUUUUGUAGAAAAACAGCUUGUUUAUUAUUUGUAUUAAAUUUUAAUCGUCAUGUCCUAUCGAAAUAAUGAUUGUAGAAUAUAUGUUGGUAAUUUACCACCCGAUAUUAGAACUAAAGAUAUUGAAGAUUUAUUCUACAAAUUCGGAAAGAUAACAUUUAUCGAUUUGAAAAAUAGAAGAGGACCACCUUUCGCUUUCGUAGAAUUCGAUGAUCCUAGAGAUGCUGAUGAUGCUGUUGGAGCUCGAGAUGGAUAUGAUUAUGAUGGUUAUCGUUUGAGAGUUGAAUUUCCUCGUGGUAAUGGUCCUGGAAGAGGUAUGGGAACGCCUAGAGGAAGAGGUCGUGGUCCUCCUGCUAGACGGUCUCAGUAUAGAGUUUUGGUAUCAGGUCUUCCAUCAACUGGUAGUUGGCAAGAUUUAAAAGAUCAUAUGCGUGAGGCAGGUGAUGUUUGCUAUGCUGAUGUUCAUAAGGAUGGUACAGGAGUUGUUGAAUUUUUGAGAUAUGAAGACAUGAAGUAUGCAGUUAAAAAAUUAGAUGAUUCAAGAUUCCGAUCUCAUGAAGGAGAAGUUGCCUAUAUUCGAGUUAAGGAAGAUUACGGGAGCAGAUCUCGUUCAAGAAGCCAGAGUUAUUCUCCACCUCGGCGUACCCGUGGCUCACCUACCUAUUCUCCUGCACAUCGCUCAAGGUCCCGAUCUCGCUCAAGAUCCUCAUAGACAUUCAUUCAGAAAGCUCUUUCAUUUCCAGAACUGAUUUUAUGCAAACAUGGAUACCCGUCAUGAUGAAAUUGAAAUUUGAAUAAAAUGGAAUACUAAGGAGCAUUGCAGGAAUGAUCAGUUUUUUAGUGGAUCCCUUACUUGGCAAGCAGGAGCCGUGCAAUGGAUAUCUGUUUGAGGGUUUUAUGCUAAAAAUAUCAGGAUAAAAGGAAUAUACAUUACAAAGAAGCGGAGAAUGUAUGUGGAGCUCUGUGAAAGUUUUCGGUGAUCACUUAACUUGGAUCUUUAGGAUUUCAAUCCCAAAUUGGAUCAAACUGGAUAGGAGCAGUGUUUAAGAGUAUUUUUCUCCUAUGGAUCACACACUGCUGGGAACAAAACUGUGGAUUUAUCUUUUAAGGAAAAUAUCGGAUUUAAAGACUUGCUGGGAGGAAAUUAUUUGGAAAACACAGGAUGGGAUAAAGAUACUACACAUACAGGAGGAUGCACGUAUAACUUUGCGUUGGAUGGAACAGGAUUGGAAUUUUAGGUUGCCUGCUUGGAUCACUGCUAAGUUGCAGAGCAAUAAUUUUAAGGAUUGGCUGCAUGGAUUCCUCCUGGAUACACGGAGUGGAUCAUGGAGGAUUGGAUUUGCAAAAUAUUAAAUGAGUUAUAAAAAAAAAAGGAAAUAUUAUCCCUUUAAUUUUACUUGGUUAGAAUAGCUUGAUUUCCCCCUCAGUUUCACCAAUUUCUUUGUUGCAUUAUUUCCAAUAUAGGAAAUUGAUACUGUGCUAGUUUAAUUCCCCAGUGGGGUUUGGGAAUAUGACAGUUGCAUUCCAUUUAAACUUCCCUAAGUCUACAAGAGCUCGCUUCAAUUCUAGAUAGAAAAUGGAAUCAUAUUUCAUAGCAUUAUUAAUAUAUUCCUUUGAAGUUUUAAGCUUAUAAUUACUUUGAAUUAUUUUUACAAUUUUUUUUAACCUUUUUAAAAUUUAUUUUAUCUUUGUUCCUCUUUUUCAAAGCCUUUUCUUUUAUUUACUGUGCUUGUAAA